CUGGCGGCAUGCCUAAGACAUGCAAGUCGUACGAGGUUGCCUGUUGAAGUUUUAUGCUUGACAUAAAAUUGAUUCAGAUACAACCUAGUGGCGAAAGGGUGAGUAACACGUGAGUAAUCUACCCUAGAGACUGGGAUAACUAUUGGAAACGAUAGCUAAUACCGGAUUAAAUAUAAAGUUGAUUACUUUAUAGUAAAGAAGCCUUCAAAGCUUCACUUUAGGAUGAGCUUGCGCCGUAUUAGCUAGUUGGUAAGGUAAUGGCUUACCAAGGCGACGAUGCGUAGCCGACCUGAGAGGGUGAUCGGCCACACUGGGACUGAGACACGGCCCAGACUCCUACGGGAGACAGCAGUUAGGGAUAUUCGUCAAUGGAGGAAACUCUGAACGAGCAAUGCCGCGUGAGUGAAUGACAGUUCUUUGGAUUGUAAAACUCUGUUGUUAGGGAAGAACGACUCGUAUAGGAAAUGAUACGGGAGUGACUGUACCUUUCAAGAAAGCUCCGGCUAACUACGUGCCAGCCGCGGC
This 525-nucleotide ribosomal RNA is filed under the name uncultured bacterium. RNAcentral's name for it is "bacterial SSU rRNA". It matches the Rfam family "Bacterial small subunit ribosomal RNA", at positions 36 to 518 of the family's 1533-position model. The record is from RNAcentral.